Molecule: transfer-messenger RNA, 337 nt
Filed under: Anaeromicrobium sediminis
Lineage: Bacteria; Bacillati; Bacillota; Clostridia; Peptostreptococcales; Thermotaleaceae
Rfam family: transfer-messenger RNA
About the family: Bacterial tmRNA, also known as 10Sa RNA or SsrA, is named for its dual tRNA and mRNA-like properties. Its role is to liberate the mRNA from a stalled ribosome.
Source: Rfam by way of RNAcentral
ACAGGUUUCGACGGGGGUCUGAAUCUUAUAGCAGCGAGUGGAGGUUUUUCCUUGGGGUCCGCCUUAAAAAACUGGGGAUAUAAAUAUAAACGCAAACGAAAAUUACGCAUUAGCAGCUUAAUAUAGUUGCUUGUUCACCCUAGAGACCCACGAUCUAGGCUUGAACAUCAUUUAAGUGGGGAACUACUUUUAGGGGUUGCCUUGACCUAUUAGUUGAUUAACUGGGGCUGGUAGAGAUAAAAGCCUGUCAUUGGGCGCUUUGAUCUACGAGAUUUAAAACAAUGACUGCACUCGGAGAAACUAUUUUUGCAGGGCUUUCGGACGUGGGUUCGAUUCA